UACGGAGGGUGCGAGCGUUAAUCGGAAUUACUGGGCGUAAAGCGCACGCAGGCGGUUUUAUAAGCUAGAUGUGAAAUCCCGGGGCUUAACCUCGGAACUGCAUUUAGAACUGUAAGACUAGAAUACGAGAGAGGGUGGUAGAAUUUCAGGUGUAGCGGUGAAAUGCGUAGAGAUCUGAAGGAAUACCGGUGGCGAAGGCGGCCACCUGGCUCGAUAUUGACGCUCAUGUGCGAAAGCGUGGGUAGCGAACAGG
Molecule: ribosomal RNA, 253 nt
Filed under: uncultured bacterium
Lineage: Bacteria
Description: partial 16S ribosomal RNA
Rfam family: Bacterial small subunit ribosomal RNA
Source: RNAcentral